RNAcentral lists this transfer RNA (64 nucleotides) under Panulirus argus (Caribbean spiny lobster). RNAcentral's name for it is "transfer RNA-Leu". The record is from RNAcentral. Lineage: Eukaryota; Metazoa; Arthropoda; Malacostraca; Decapoda; Palinuridae.
CCUAAAAUGGCAGACAAAUGCGCAGGAUUUAAGCUCCUGCUAUGGAGAUCUUCUCCUUUUAGAA